Long non-coding RNA from Meriones unguiculatus (Mongolian gerbil), 736 nucleotides. RefSeq lists it as uncharacterized. The record is from RefSeq and is a predicted model, not a curated record. Lineage: Eukaryota; Metazoa; Chordata; Mammalia; Rodentia; Muridae. The transcript has 2 exons.
CUCAGUCUCCAUAAUUUUAGUUUCUUUUAAAAAAUAUUUUAUUUUAUUUGUGUUCGUGUGUACAAGUGCCUGUGGCAGCUAGAAGAGAGUAUUGGAUUCCUGUGAGCCACAGUUACAGGAAGUUGUGAACUGUCUGCCAUCGGUGCUGGGAACAGAAUGGUGACUUUAACCUGGCAAUGAAAGAGAAGAAAAAGAAAGUUGAAAGAGAAAAUACACAUGAAGUGAAACAAAAAAUUAAAGAGAGCCCCAAAAGGCUCAGACCAAGAAAUGAAAUGGCUGAAGACAGAUCCUAGAUGAGAUAAACGAGAUGAGAGGAAAUGGAACUACUCUCAUAUAAAGGUCCUUCGGGAUUCAAGACCUCUUGCUGGGAACAGCUUGUGGACUUUGCGUGGUGACAGAUAAGCAAUCAAAACAGAAAAAAAGUUACACUUCAGCACUUACUGAGGCCAUGUGCCUUCACCUUUGUCUUUAGAUACCUACAUCACAGGUCUGAAACAUAUAACUAAUGUUCCCCAGUAGAAAGAUGGCACUGUAAAUGCAUUCAAAAGAUUUAUGUUACUAUAUACAUGUAAUAGAUUGUAAACAGACUCCAUACAUUUUAAAGCUUUUUUCCACUGUGGGUUAUAUUUAACAUCUGUAAUUUAUACUGACAGAAAUGAAUUGAUCUUUAGCUAAAGGUCCUCAAUUAUGCCUCAAAUUAAAACUUCAACAUUAAAUAAUGUUACAGGACUUGAAA